CAGGCGCGGAGUACCAAACUCUGAUUUACGACGUUUCUUCUGAGUGGUACAAGCAAAUAAUCAAAACUUUUAACAACGGAUCUCUUGGUUCUGGCAUCGAUGAAGAACGCAGCGAAAUGCGAUAAGUAAUGUGAAUUGCAGAAUUCAGUGAAUCAUCGAAUCUUUGAACGCACAUUGCGCCCGCCAGCAUUCUGGCGGGCAUGCCUGUUCGAGCGUCAUUUCAACCCUCAAGCUCUGCUUGGUGUUGGGGCCCUACAGCUGAUGUAGGCCCUCAAAGGUAGUGGCGGACCCUCCCGGAGCCUCCUUUGCGUAGUAACUUUACGUCUCGCACUGGGAUCCGGAGGGACUCUUGCCGUAAAACCCCCAAUUUUCCAAAGGUUGACCUCGGAUCAGGUAGGAAUACCCGCUGAACUUAAGCAUUUAAAAGGGGGGAGAGAGAA
Molecule: ribosomal RNA, 440 nt
Filed under: Colletotrichum gloeosporioides
Lineage: Eukaryota; Fungi; Ascomycota; Sordariomycetes; Glomerellales; Glomerellaceae
Description: eukaryotic LSU rRNA
Rfam family: 5.8S ribosomal RNA (bases 65-218)
Source: RNAcentral